AAUGAACGCUGGCGGCAUGCCUUACACAUGCAAGUCGAACGGCAGCAUGAUCUUACUUUUUUGGUUGAUGGCGAGUGGCGCAUGGGUGAGUAAUGUAUCGGUACGUGCCUUUUAUCGUGGGAUAACCUAGCGGAAGUUACGCUAUGACCGCAUAUUCUCCGUGGGGGAAAGUACGGGACCUUCGGGCCCUUUGCUAGACGUACGUCCGAUGUCGGAUUAGCUAGUUGGUGAGGUAGAGGCUUACCAAGGCAACGAUCCGGAGCGGGUCUGAGAGGAUGAUUCGCCACACUGGGACUGAGACACGGGCCCGACUCCUACGGGAGGCAGCAGUGGGGAAUGGUGGAGAAUGGGGGGAAGCCUGCUCCAGCAACGCCGCGUGGGUGAAGAAGGACUUCGGGUUGUAAAGCUCUUUCGGGUGGGAAGAAAGCGCGCGCUAGACUCCAGGGUGUCGAUGACGGUACCAGCAUAAGAAGCACCGGCUAACUUCGUG
RNAcentral lists this ribosomal RNA (490 nucleotides) under uncultured bacterium. RNAcentral's name for it is "partial 16S ribosomal RNA". It matches the Rfam family "Bacterial small subunit ribosomal RNA", at positions 29 to 507 of the family's 1533-position model. The record is from RNAcentral.